GAUGAACGCUGGCGGCGUGCCUAAUACAUGCAAGUCGAGCGAACAGACGAGGAGCUUGCUCCUCUGACGUUAGCGGCGGACGGGUGAGUAACACGUGGAUAACCUACCUAUAAGACUGGGAUAACUUCGGGAAACCGGAGCUAAUACCGGAUAAUAUAUUGAACCGCAUGGUUCAAUAGUGAAAGACGGUUUUGCUGUCACUUAUAGAUGGAUCCGCGCCGCAUUAGCUAGUUGGUAAGGUAACGGCUUACCAAGGCAACGAUGCGUAGCCGACCUGAGAGGGUGAUCGGCCACACUGGAACUGAGACACGGUCCAGACUCCUACGGGAGGCCGCAGUAGGGAAUCUUCCGCGAUGGGCGAAAGCCUGACGGAGCAACGCCGCGUGAGUGAUGAAGGUCUUAGGAUCGUAAAACUCUGUUAUUAGGGAAGAACAAAUGUGUAAGUAACUAUGCACGUCUUGACGGUACCUAAUCAGAAAGCCACGGCUAACUACGUG
Molecule: ribosomal RNA, 497 nt
Filed under: uncultured bacterium
Lineage: Bacteria
Description: partial 16S ribosomal RNA
Rfam family: Bacterial small subunit ribosomal RNA
Source: RNAcentral